UAAUAAAAUAAUGUAUUUAAAUUGCACAAUUUGAUAAGUUUUGACAUAUGUAUACAAGCAUGAAACAAUCAUCAUAGUCAAGAUAGUGAACAU
This is a long non-coding RNA of Nomascus leucogenys (northern white-cheeked gibbon), 93 nucleotides long. RefSeq lists it as uncharacterized. The record is from RefSeq and is a predicted model, not a curated record. The transcript has 3 exons. Lineage: Eukaryota; Metazoa; Chordata; Mammalia; Primates; Hylobatidae.